CAAUAGCGUAUAUUUAAGUUGUUGCAGUUAAAAAGCUCGUAGUUGGAUUUCUGCUGAUCGCUGUCGGUCUGCCGUCAGGUGUGUACUGGCAGUGUUUGGCAUCUAUUCGAGAUUGGGUGUCCACUUGAUUGUGUGCACUCGAUGUCGGAGCUAAUACUUUGAGAAAAUUAGAGUGUUCCACGCAGGCGCGUGCCUUGAAUACUGCAGCAUGGGAUAUUGGUAGGCCGAUUGAGCUUUCUUGUUGGUUCUCGGUUUGAUCGGAAUGAUUAAUAGGGAUAGUUGGGGGCAUUCGUAUUCAACUGUCAGAGGUGAAAUUCUUGGAUUUGUUGAAGACGGACUACUGCGAAAGCAUCUGCCAUGGAUGUUCUCAUUGA
RNAcentral lists this ribosomal RNA (374 nucleotides) under uncultured eukaryote. Its description in RNAcentral is "partial 18S ribosomal RNA". It matches the Rfam family "Eukaryotic small subunit ribosomal RNA", at positions 592 to 976 of the family's 1831-position model. The record is from RNAcentral.